Molecule: ribosomal RNA, 486 nt
Filed under: uncultured bacterium
Lineage: Bacteria
Description: partial 16S ribosomal RNA
Rfam family: Bacterial small subunit ribosomal RNA
Source: RNAcentral
AUUGAACGCUGGCGGCAUGCCUUACACAUGCAAGUCGAACGGCAGCACGGGUGCUUGCACCUGGUGGCGAGUGGCGAACGGGUGAGUAAUACAUCGGAACAUGUCCUGUAGUGGGGGAUAGCCCGGCGAAAGCCGGAUUAAUACCGCAUACGAUCUACGGAUGAAAGCGGGGGACCUUCGGGCCUCGCGCUAUAGGGUUGGCCGAUGGCUGAUUAGCUAGUUGGUGGGGUAAAGGCCUACCAAGGCGACGAUCGGUAGCUGGUCUGAGAGGACGACCAGCCACACUGGGACUGAGACACGGCCCAGACUCCUACGGGAGGCAGCAGUGGGGAAUUUUGGACAAUGGGCGAAAGCCUGAUCCAGCAAUGCCGCGUGUGUGAAGAAGGCCUUCGGGUUGUAAAGCACUUUUGUCCGGAAAGAAAUCCUUGGCCCUAAUACGGUCGGGGGAUGACGGUACCGGAAGAAUAAGCACCGGCUAACUACGUG